This 1112-nucleotide long non-coding RNA is filed under the name Salmo salar (Atlantic salmon). RNAcentral's name for it is "lncRNA (ENSSSAG00000084791.1)". Lineage: Eukaryota; Metazoa; Chordata; Actinopteri; Salmoniformes; Salmonidae. The record is from RNAcentral.
ACUAUAGGGGAACAGAGGAACUAUAGGGGAGCAGGUUAACUAUAGGGGAACAGAGGAACUAUAGGGGAACAGAGGAACUAUAGGGGAGCAGAGGAACUAUAGGGGAAUAGAGGAACUAUAGGGGAGCAGAUUAACUAUAGGGGAGCAGUUGAACUAUAGGGAGCAGAGGAACUAUAGGGGAGAAGAUGAACUAUAGGGGACUAGAUUAACUAUAGGGGAACAGAGGAACUAUAGGGGAAUAGAGGAACUAUAGGGGAGCAGAUUAACUAUAGGGGAACAGAGGAACUAUAGGGGAGAAGGUUAACUAUAGGGGAACAGAGGUACUAUAGCGGAGCAGAGGAACUAUAGGGGAGCAGAGGAACUAUAGGGGAGCAGAGGAACUAUAGGGAGUAGAGGAACUAUAGGGGAGCAGAGGAACUAUAGGGGAACAGAGGAACUAUAGGGGAACAGAGGAACUAUAGGGGAACAGAGGAACUAUAGGGGAGCAGAUGAACUAUAGGGAGCAGAGAAACAAUAGGGGAACAGAGGAACUAUAGGGGAGCAGAGGAACUAUAGGGGAGCAGAGGAACUAUAGGGGAGCAGAUUAACUAUAGGGGAGCAGAGGAACUAUAGGGGAACAGAGGAACUAUAGGGAGCAGAGAAACAAUAGGGGAGCAGAGGAACUAUAGGGGAACAGAGGAACUAUAGGGGAACAGAGGAACUAUAGGGGACUAGAUGAACUAUAGGGGAACAGAGGAACUAUAGGGGAGCAGAGGAACUAUAGGGGAGCAGAGGAACUAUAGGGGAGCAGAGGAACUAUAAGGGACAGGAUUAACUAUAGGGGAACAGAGGAACUAUAGGGGAGCAGAGGAACUAUAGGGGAGCAGAUUAACUAUAGGGGAACAGAGGAACUAUAGGGGAACAGAGGAACUACAGGGGAGCAGAUUAACUAUAGGGGAACAGAGGAACUAUAGGGGAACAGAGGAACUAUAGGGGAGCAGAGGAACUAUAGGGGAGCAGAGGAACUAUAGGGGAACAGAGGAACUAUAGGGGAACAGAGGAACUAUAGGGGAGCAGAUGAACUAUAGGGAGCAGAGAAACAAUAGGGGAACAGAGGAACUAUAGGGGAGCAG